AGUGAACGCUGGCGGUAGGCCUAACACAUGCAAGUCGAACGGCAGCACAGUAAGAGCUUGCUCUUACGGGUGGCGAGUGGCGGACGGGUGAGGAAUACAUCGGAAUCUACUUUUUCGUGGGGGAUAACGUAGGGAAACUUACGCUAAUACCGCAUACGACCUACGGGUGAAAGCAGGGGAUCUUCGGACCUUGCGCGAUUGAAUGAGCCGAUGUCGGAUUAGCUAGUUGGCGGGGUAAAGGCCCACCAAGGCGACGAUCCGUAGCUGGUCUGAGGGGAUGAUCAGCCACACUGGAACUGAGACACGGUCCAGACUCCUACGGGAGGCAGCAGUGGGGAAUAUUGGACAAAGGGCGCAAGCCUGAUCCAGCCAUACCGCGUGGGUGAAGAAGGCCUUCGGGUUGUAAAGCCCUUUUGUUGGGAAAGAAAAGCAGCGGGUUAAUACCCCGCUGUUCUGACGGUACCCAAAGAAUAAGCACCGGCUAACUUCGUG
Molecule: ribosomal RNA, 492 nt
Filed under: uncultured bacterium
Lineage: Bacteria
Description: partial 16S ribosomal RNA
Rfam family: Bacterial small subunit ribosomal RNA
Source: RNAcentral